UACGUAGGGUGCAAGCGUUGUCCGGAUUCACUGGGUUUAAAGGGUGCGCAGGCGGCGGCGUAAGUCCGGGAUGAAAUGUGGGGGCUCAACCCCUACGCUGUCCCGGAUACUGCGGCGCUGGAGUCACAAUGAGGUAGCUGGAAUGGACGGUGUAGCGGUGAAAUGCGUAGAGAUCGUCCGGAACGCCAAUUGCGAAGGCAAGCUGCUGAUUGUGUACUGACGCUCAGGCACGAAAGCGUGGGUAACGAACAGG
RNAcentral lists this ribosomal RNA (253 nucleotides) under uncultured bacterium. RNAcentral's name for it is "partial 16S ribosomal RNA". It matches the Rfam family "Bacterial small subunit ribosomal RNA", at positions 524 to 776 of the family's 1533-position model. The record is from RNAcentral.